CCUACGGGGUGCAGCAGUGGGGAAUAUUGCACAAUGGGCGAAAGCCUGAUGCAGCGACGCCGCGUGAGUGAAGAAGUAUUUCGGUAUGUAAAGCUCUAUCAGCAGGGAAGAAAAUGACGGUACCUGACUAAGAAGCCCCGGCAAACAACGUGCCAGCAGCCGCGGGCAUAAGUAGGGGGCCAGCGUUAUCCGGAUUUAAUGGGUGUAAAGGGAGCGUACACGGGAAAGGAAGGCUGACGUGAAAACACGGGGGUCAAACCUGGGACUGCUUUGGACACUGCUUUGCUAGAGUGUCGGAGAGGUAAGUGGAAUGCGUGGUGGAGCGGUGAAAUGCAUAGAUAUUAGGAGGAACACCAGUGGCGAAGGCGGCUUACUGGACGAUAACUGACGUUGAGGCUCGAAAGCGUGGGGAGCGAACAGGAUUAGAUACCCUUGUAGUC
Molecule: ribosomal RNA, 440 nt
Filed under: uncultured bacterium
Lineage: Bacteria
Description: partial 16S ribosomal RNA
Rfam family: Bacterial small subunit ribosomal RNA
Source: RNAcentral